CUCACCUUGCUGGGUACACACAGAACCCACAAACUUGUCCUCUGGGCACUCCGUCUGUGGGUCCUCCUGAAUGAUUGCAGAGAUUCUCCACUCCCUGAUAGUCCUGCUUACACCUAAGGCCCCUACACCGCAGCUGGUCUCAGUUUGGAGUUUGUCAGCAACUCCACACUCACAAUCCCACACAGAGCAAGUUUGAGAACAUCCAGAUGCAUUACUCAAGGACACAGAUCCCAUUCCAGAUCAGGCCACUGGAAAUGAAAACUGGUUACCGAAGUAUAAGCAAGAAUUGUCCAGCUAAUGAAAAUGCAUCCAGUUACCAGGGAUGGUGUACACUUGUGGGUCACAGUAAUUUUGUUUAAAUAUUAUGCAAAAGUGGAAAUUAUAUCUAUUUCAUAUGAAAGACUUCUAAUGAGAAUUGAUAGCAGGGCACAGUUAUUUUCUUGUUAUGCAAAAUUCUGAAAUAAUAAAGAUUAGUUAAAAUCUA
Long non-coding RNA from Passer domesticus (house sparrow), 484 nucleotides. RefSeq lists it as uncharacterized. NCBI's taxonomy places the organism in Eukaryota, Metazoa, Chordata, Aves, Passeriformes, Passeridae. The record is from RefSeq and is a predicted model, not a curated record. The transcript is spliced from 3 exons.